ACCAUCCUGUGGUGUUCGCCACGUUUCUGCUUUUACCCACAUUUUCAUAAAAGGACGCCGGGUCGGUAUGCAGAUGUCAGGCCCCCACAGUCAGGGGAAGGCAGUAAGCAGCCGCAGGCCUCCGCCCUGCCGAGCGGCGGGUGAAAAUGCAGAGCGAACGGCACUUACGGGAUUUUU
This 177-nucleotide non-coding RNA is filed under the name Clostridiales bacterium. Its description in RNAcentral is "6S RNA". It matches the Rfam family "6S / SsrS RNA". From Rfam's summary of the family: E. coli 6S RNA was the first non coding RNA to be sequenced, but its function was unknown until recently. It consists of 184 nucleotides that fold into an extended hairpin structure with a large single-stranded internal bulge. The 6S RNA specifically associates with RNA polymerase holoenzyme containing the sigma70 specificity factor. The record is from RNAcentral. Lineage: Bacteria; Bacillati; Bacillota; Clostridia; Eubacteriales.